CUACGGGCCGCUGCAGUGGGGAAUAUUGCACAAUGGGCGCAAGCCUGAUGCAGCAACGCCGCGUGGGGGACGAAGGCCUUCGGGUUGUAAACCUCUUUUAGUAGGGAAGAAGCGCAAGUGACGGUACCUACAGAAAAAGCACCGGCUAACUACGUGCCAGCGAGCCGCGGUAAUACGUAGGGUGCAAGCGUUGUCCGGAAUUAUUGGGCGUAAAGAGCUCGUAGGCGGUUUGUCGCGUCUGCUGUGAAAAUCCGAGGCUCAACCUCGGACCUGCAGUGGGUACGGGCAAACUAGAGUGCGGUAGGGGAGAUUGGAAUUCCUGGUGUAGCGGUGGAAUGCGCAGAUAUCAGGAGGAACACCAAUGGCGAAGGCAGAUCUCUGGGCCGUAACUGACGCUGAGGAGCGAAAGCGUGGGGAGCGAACAGGAUUAGAUACCCCAGUAGUC
RNAcentral lists this ribosomal RNA (445 nucleotides) under uncultured bacterium. RNAcentral describes it as "partial 16S ribosomal RNA". It matches the Rfam family "Bacterial small subunit ribosomal RNA", at positions 339 to 795 of the family's 1533-position model. The record is from RNAcentral.